GACGAACGCUGGCGGCGUGCUUAACACAUGCAAGUCGAACGGAAAGACGCUGCGUUUGUGGGGUUCUCGUGAGGCGAACGGGUGAGUAAAACGUGAGUAUAAUGUACCUGACUUUGGGGUAUAUCCAGGAAAAUGGGGAGAUAACCGGGUAGAAUAUACUGCUGCAUGGGGGGGAUUGGAGAGUUUCGGCGGUGGUGGCUGGUCUGGAGGCUUAUGCGCUUGUUGGGGUGGUGGGGGCUGACAAAGGCUACGACGGGUAGCCGGCCUGAGAGGGUGGCCGGCCACAUUGGGACUGAGGUACGGAGCAGUCUGGUACGGGAGGCAGCAGUGGGGAGUAUUGCGGAGUGGGGGGGAGCGUGAGACGGCAACGCUGCGUGCGGGAUGACGGCCUUCGGGUUGUGAACCGCUGUCGCCGGUGACGAAGCGUGAGUGACGGUAAUGGGUAAAGAAGCACCGGCUAACUACGUG
RNAcentral lists this ribosomal RNA (468 nucleotides) under uncultured bacterium. RNAcentral describes it as "partial 16S ribosomal RNA". It matches the Rfam family "Bacterial small subunit ribosomal RNA", at positions 28 to 507 of the family's 1533-position model. The record is from RNAcentral.